Dermacentor andersoni is the source of this 1379-nucleotide long non-coding RNA. RefSeq lists it as uncharacterized. The record is from RefSeq and is a predicted model, not a curated record. NCBI's taxonomy places the organism in Eukaryota, Metazoa, Arthropoda, Arachnida, Ixodida, Ixodidae.
GGUUCGGCAAUAGAGAAAUGAGCGCAAUGCCAUUGUUUAUGAAAUCAGGCUUUGGCGCUGCCUCGGUCAUUCUAACGGCAUAGUAGCGUCUACCACUGUACUCCUAAUUUGUUUCACACGUGCUUCAUCUUGUGUUGUGCUACCCUUUUCUUUCUGAUUUCUUUCUAUACUUCUAAGAUUCACCAAUGGUAUGCUAACUGUACACAUCUACCCACCUCAACCCAGUUCCCCCCUCACCCUCCACUUCUCUUUAUUUGUAAAUACAAAUAAAUCUGUAUGCCGCCUGGCGCUUCGCUACAGCACCGCGGCAAGAAACCAACCACCAAGAAUAAACAUAGAAAAAAUCGUAGAGAUAAUCUUACGCAUUGCUGCGAUGCAUAUCAACUGACUAAAUUAAGGCGGCACCAAAACGAAACCAUAAUGCUGAAAACUACAACCUUACACACAAAAUAGACUCCUAAAAAUGACCAUUAAGAAGGCUUGCCGACCGCUAAGAGCGGCAGGAAGUCAGCGGAGGCGUUUUGCCUCGAACACCAAUAUCGAUCGUCAGGAAUGCGCUAGCUUGAAAAACAAGUUCUCCAUCUAUAUACGCGGAAAUAUAUUCCACAUUGUGCAAGCGCAAUCGUUGUCACACCGUGCAAGCAACGCUGGAAUUCCAUCACAGAGCUUGCGACAUCUCGGGAACGUUCAAAAACACACCAGAGGCGAGCGCACACUGACAAACACGUUGAAAGGCAACUGCGAGUUUCCCAAACAACGAAAAACAAAGGUGUUUAUCUGCCGUCGACGUCGUCAGUGAGCUUCCGCUAUUUGUGCCGUUUAUGUUAUUGACGCUGCUGCUACGUACUGAUACGUUUCUUGUUGCCUUUCUUUCUUUCUUUCUUUCUUUCUUUCUUUCUUUCUUUCUUUCUUUCUUUGUCUGCAUAGGUAGUUACAUGUUGCUGUCAAGGCUAUCGUUCCUGGUAUUGCUUGCUCGGCUACCGGCAGCGUGGACAAGCCAGACGUAGAACGCCAACCGCGUCAUGCUGAUGUAAGCUUCGAGACCGCGAAUGGCACGCCUCCUCCUGAUGUACGUCCGCCAAGCUUGGACCACUGUUUCAACAGCUGCUUACGGCUCGCCGUGAUAUCAGCAAGCGCAAGGCUCACCUGCAGAGACUACGUGUGACUGCCAGUGACGUCACGCCCACCAGGUGGAAGAACAAGCUACAUAAAGGCCUGCAUCUCCAAUCCGCAACCACUUGGCAGCAGCAGGGGCAGCCCGACAAUGUUCUGAAGCUACUUUGUAUAUUUGCAGGGAAACGUACAGGCACCUCUAGGAACUCUUGAGCAUGAACCAAAGUUGUUGAAAAGAAGAGGAACAGGACAACCCACCUUGGGGC